Molecule: unclassified non-coding RNA, 1980 nt
Filed under: Hevea brasiliensis (rubber tree)
Lineage: Eukaryota; Viridiplantae; Streptophyta; Magnoliopsida; Malpighiales; Euphorbiaceae
Source: RNAcentral
UUUUCAAAAAGAAGCAAUAGGAAAAUAAAGGCUUCUGAUAAAAACAAAUUUUUAAAAAGAAAGAAAAAGUCAAUCUAACCCGUUUGCACAUAUUAGCUAGUGGCAAAGGCGCACUUUUACUGUUCCUAUCACAGAAUAUGAUUUUCUAGUGUUCUUUGACACUCUACUCCAUUGAUUCAACUAAUGUUGGCUAAAGGUCUAGAGGAUAAGCCAAAACUCCAAAAGUAAAUCAUAGUGAAGCAGUGACCUCUUGCUCAUAUUCACUAGGGCCUAUUAGAAGUUCAUUGCUUGGUUGUAUCAACUUCCUCUCCACCCUUUGUCAUAUGUUUAACUAAUUGCUCAUCUAGAAUCCUCCAGUAACUGUCUACAUCAACUAUAGAACACCUCUCACACAUCUCCUUGAAUAUUUUCUGGACCUCAACAGCUUUCCCCAUUUCGCACAACUGCUUGACGAAAAUUGAAAAGCUCUCUGGACUUAUUACAUAGUUCUUAUCAAUUGUUUCAUAUAAAACCUGUUUUGCCAUUUGCUCAUUUCCAUCCUCACAAUAUCCCAUAACUAAGGAACUGCACAUUGUUGCACCAAUGGCAAUGCCAUUACGAAGCAUGUCCUUAAGAAUCUCUUCCACAUCUUGCAUUCUACCUUUGGCCCUACAAAGGCCACCAAUCACCAUGCUGUAUGAGAUGAAAUUUGGCUUGCAACCCAUUCCUCGCAUCUGCUUCAGAAGAAAAAUUGCCAUAUCAAGCUCCCCAGACUCCAUAAGAGUCCUCAACACCACAUUGAAACUUCCAACGCUUGGAUUGAUGCCUUUAGCCUGCAUUUCCUUCAGAAGGGAAAUUGCCUUAUUUGGUAUCCUCAUUUUGCAAUACUCAUUAACAACAAUUCCAUAUGCUUUUGCAUCAGGUUUCAUUCCCUUUCUAAUGAUCUCCUUAAAAUAGUUAACAGCUUCAUCUGACCUUCCAGCAUAGCAAAGGCCCUUUAAUAUGCUCAUAUGAGUCGCAAGAUUUUCUUUCAAUCCAUUUAAUCUCAUCUGUGUCAUCAACUUCUUGGCCUUGUCAACAUUUCCUCUCAAACACAAGCCAUAAAUUAUCGCAUUGUAAGUUAACAGAUUUGGCUUGCAACACCGAAGCUUCAUCUCAUCCAUCCACUUCAUUGCCUUGUCAAACUCACCUUUUUUACAGUACCCAUCAAUAAUAGUGGUAUAAGUAACCGUAUCAGGCAAACAAUCCUGACUCUCAAGGAGUCGAUAAAAUAUAGUAAUCGCUUUGUCCAUAUCGCCUUUCUUACAAUAACCAUUAAUCAUGGUAUUAUAACUAACCACGUUUGGCUCACAGGCCAUUUCAUCAAACACCUUCCUCGCAUUCUCAAUCAUACCUGUUUUGCAGUACCCUCUAAUCAUUAUUGAAUAAGUAGACACAUCCGUCUUCACCACAGCAUCAUUCACAAUCUCGUCAAAAAAUGACUGGGCCAAGCUAAUCCGAUUAGCUGUCACCAACACAUUCAGAAUGGCAUUACAUGAAAACAAGCAGUUGCCAUUUGCAAUCGUUUUCGCUUUGUGGAACCAAAAGAUUGCACCUUUAACAUGUCCACGAUUACCAUAAGCUGUGAUAAAUUUACUAGCCAUUAAAUCAGAGAGUCUAUUGGAUUUUUGAAGGAGAGAUGAGGCAACGGAAAAGAGAGAGUGGGCGAGGAGAUGAUCGGUGAUGGCAACAUAACACUGGUGAGUAUGGGUAUAGCAGUUAGGGUUAUGAUGAGGGUUUGAUGCCCAGUUGAAGAAGAAGAGGGCAUGGUAAGGAUUGACUUGUUUGUUGAUGACUUCAAUGACUAAUUGGGGUUGUAGGUAAUGUGAGAAUUGGUUCAAAGGGGAUGGAUUGAUAUGUGAGGGGUCAGGCUUUCGUGGGUUUAUAGCUUGGAGACAGGAGGUUAUAGCAGUGGCUAGUGAGGUGACGUAAGGGAUCUGAGUAUGGCAGCUUACGGUUUUA